Molecule: ribosomal RNA, 1352 nt
Filed under: metagenome
Description: bacterial LSU rRNA
Rfam family: Bacterial large subunit ribosomal RNA
Source: RNAcentral
UGAGUGCGAGCUGCUACGGCAGCGAAGUUGGUGACGUCAAGCUUCCAAGAAAAGCCCUAUACCCGUUAAGGCAUCAUGGCCUGUACCCGAAACCGACACAGGUGGGGUGGUAGAGAAUACCGAGGGGCGCGAGGUAACUCUCUCUAAGGAUCUCGGCAAAAUGGCCCCGUAACUUCGGGAGAAGGGGUGCCACCGCAAGGUGGUCGCAGUGAAGAGGCCCAGGCGACUGUUUACCAAAAACACAGGUCUCCGCUAAGUCGCAAGACGAUGUAUGGGGGCUGACGCCUGCCCAGUGCCGGAAGGUUAAGGAAGCCGGUCAGCGUAAGUGAAGCUGGCGACUGAAGCCCCGGUGAACGGCGGCCGUAACAAUAACGGUCCUAAGGUAGCGAAAUUCCUUGUCGGGUAAGUUCCGACCCGCACGAAAGGCGUAACGAUCUGGGCGCUGUCUCGGAGAGAGGCUCGGCGAAAUAGAAUUGUCUGUGAAGAUGCGGACUACGUGCACCCGGACAGAAAGACCCUAUGAAGCUUUACUGUAGCUUGGUAUUGUGCCCGGGCUCUGAAUGCGCAGGAUAGGUGGGAGGCUUUGAUCAUCGGCUUGCGGGUCGAUGCGAGCCAACGGUGAGAUACCACUCUUUCAGAGCUAGGGUUCUAACAGUCGCCCGUUAUCCGGGGACUGGACAGUAUCAGGUGGGCAGUUUGACUGGGGCGGUCGCCUCCUAAAAGGUAACGGAGGCGCGCAAAGGUCUGCUCAGGCUGGUUGGAAAUCAGCCGACGAGUGUAAAAGCAGAAGCAGGCUUGACUGUGAGACCUACAAGUCGAACAGGGAGGAAACUCGGCUUUAGUGAUCCGACGGUUCUGCGUGGAAGGGCCGUCGCUCAACGGAUAAAAGUUACUCUAAGGAUAACAGGCUGAUCUCCCCCAAGAGUUCACAUCGACGGGGAGGUUUGGCACCUCGAUGUCGGCUCAUCGCAACCUGGGGCUGAAGUCGGUCCCAAGGGUUGGGCUGUUCGCCCAUUAAAGCGGUACGCGAGCUGGGUUCAGAACGUCGUGAGACAGUUCGGUCCAUAUCCGGUGCAUGCGCAGGAAUAUUGAGAGGAGUUCUCCCUAGUACGAGAGGACCGGGAGGAACGCACCUCUGGUGUACCAGUUAUCGUGCCAACGGUAAACGCUGGGUAGCCAUGUGCGGAGAGGAUAACCGCUGAAAGCAUCUAAGUGGGAAGCCCACCUCAAGAUGAGUAUUCCCAUGGCGUUAGCCAGUAAGGUCACGGGAAGAACACCCGUUGAUAGGCUCUAUGUGGAAGCGCAGUAAUGCGUGAAGCAGAGGAGUACUAAUAGACCGAGGGCUUGACCGC